Molecule: ribosomal RNA, 250 nt
Filed under: uncultured prokaryote
Description: partial 16S ribosomal RNA
Rfam family: Bacterial small subunit ribosomal RNA
Source: RNAcentral
UACGAAGGGUGCAAGCGUUGUUCGGAAUUACUGGGCGUAAAGGGCGCGUAGGCGGAUAAGUUAGUCAGGAGUGAAAUCCCGAGGCUCAACCUCGGAACUGCUUUUGAAACGGCUUAUCUUGAGUAUGACAGGGGAUGAUGGAAUACCCAGUGUAGAGGUGAAAUUCGUAGAUAUUGGGUAGAACACCAGAGGCGAAGGCGGUCAUCUGGGUCAUUACUGACGCUGAGGCGCGAAAGCGUGGGGAUCAAAC